GCAGCUUUGCUUGUCGACUAAGAGUGAAGAGCAGUGACAAAUCUCUUCACUUGGGCUUCCUUCCAUUGAUUCAAGAGUGCUGUGUCAGCAGCUAACAAUCCCUCUGCAGAGCUUGUUUUACCAUUCCAUAUUAAGUUAUUCCUGCAAGACCAUAUCACCCAACACCUAAUCGCAAGCCAGCAACAAUUUUCCUCAGAAAAAGAAAGGAACUUAGAGCUCAACCAAUCCUAAAAAGUACUCAUUGUGCUAGGUUGCCCACCCAAAUUAGGCAUUGCGCAAACAUCAAUAGCAAGAGAGCAUUGUACAAAUACAUGGAAGGCACUUUCAUCAGCAUUUCCACAGAGGACAGAGACUACUAACCUCAACACGUGAUUUGAUAGUGUUAUCUCUGGUUGGAAGAAUAUUACGACCAACUCUCCACAAGAAUUCCUUAACUUUCUGAGGAAUGUUUAAGUCCCAUACC
This 463-nucleotide long non-coding RNA is filed under the name Ricinus communis (castor bean). RNAcentral describes it as "long non-coding RNA (RCOM_LNC001623)". The record is from RNAcentral. Lineage: Eukaryota; Viridiplantae; Streptophyta; Magnoliopsida; Malpighiales; Euphorbiaceae.